Long non-coding RNA from Hydractinia symbiolongicarpus, 7144 nucleotides. RefSeq lists it as uncharacterized. The record is from RefSeq and is a predicted model, not a curated record. The transcript is spliced from 4 exons. NCBI's taxonomy places the organism in Eukaryota, Metazoa, Cnidaria, Hydrozoa, Anthoathecata, Hydractiniidae.
UCUUUCUCUCACUUGUUGUUUUCAUAUUCCUUCUAAAAAGAAGUUUCGAGUCCGUUGUUAACUGAACGGAAUAAUAUUUACAUCAGUAAAUGAACUUUGAUUAAAAACUUAUUUUAUAAUGACCAGACUGGAUUAAGUGUCUUAUUGCAAACUUUCUUUCGUGACAAGUCAUUUGCUGUGUAUUGGAGCAGAUUUGGGGUAAAAAAUGAGGUAAAUAUUUUUCCAUUUUUACCAGUUGAAAAUGAUUACAAAAGUUUAGGUCUUCAAUCUGAUUUUUUUUUGUUUUUAAAAUACGUUGUUUCUAUUUAAUGAUUCGAUGUAAAGUUUUUGGCACGAUUUAAAUAUUCGGCCAAGAGAGUAGCUCUUAAAAAAUUUUAUCGAUAGCAAUAUCUUGGGAGAAAAUAAUACACAUAACUUGCAUCAUAUCUUUUCCAUUUUCUCUCUCACGAAAUACGUUUCACUUUGUCUAGAAAAAGAUGGUGGGUGUAUGCACACGUAAUUCGCCAAUGUACUCAUCGCCAUUCCCGUCCCCAGAGCUCUUUAAAAUUAAAAACUCAAAAGUUUAUUUCAAAGAGUUCUGUAGUCGAGCAUGACCAUGAAAUGUACACUAGCCCAAAUUUUUAAGUUGUUGAAAAUGCUUGCCGACUUUCAAUAUAAAUAGUAAUGUUUCAUUAGUAAGAUCUAAAUAAAGAAUUUACUGAAGUAAAUUCUUCAACUUAUGAACAAUUAUUAUCCUGCUUAAACUUAUCGUCAAUAACUACUGCUAUUAGUUUUAAAUACCGCCAUUAUGACUCGUAGCCACGGUAACAUGCAUUUUUGUGUUAUUUUAUUGUUCAUUGUCUUAUUAACUUAUUUUUUCGACUUCUUGCACACAUAAUGAAGGCCGGAGAAGCGGGAUGGAUUAUUGUUGUGUGAAAUACAGCAGAAAAAUAUUCACACAAUUAAAAUUAAUGUUGAUGUGGCUUUUGACAUAACAGGCUAAUCUGGUUGAUCAAGUAGCUAUUUUUGAUGCAAAACGUAAUCCAUUCUGUUUAAAUAUCAUUGAUUAACAGCUUGUUCCUUCCACAGAUAUAGCUUUACAAUUGUUUAGCUAUAGCUUGUAUGCGACAAGCUAUAGCAAUAGUUAAUAUGUAGAAACUUUAGGUGUUUUGCAGCAAAUAUUGCAAAUGUCUAGGCUGGCGAUCAAAUUUGGGACAAAUUCGUUAUAUAGGUAUAGUUGGGGAAUAAAAGGAGGAUUAAAUACUUGUAGUUGUGUUAAGAUACAACGCGAAUUUUCAUCACGAAAAUUCGUCACAAUAGAUGAAAACAAACAAAGGAAUCAAUAUUUAUUCAGUUAUCUUUUUGUAGAAUUAUUUGUGGUAUUUUAAUGUAAAGAUUGUUGACAGAAUAAUUUAUUGCAACGCAAACAACUAACACAAACAAAUAUUUAAAAUAAACAAAACAAUGUAAGCAAAUAACGUAAUCCGUUAACAAAUUCAAUUGUGAUGAAAUGUGUCUGACGUCAGCAUUUAAUGCGUUGGCAGCAAAUUUUCGCAAAAAAUAUUUCCAAUAGAAAACAGCCUGAAGAAUUUUUACGUCAUAUCCACAUGUCAAAACCAAGGUAAAAAAUAUCGAGAGAAUUUAAUUGCUCAAAAUAAUUCAUGGGAAAUAGUAUUGGAAAUGAGUGUUUUGAUCUUUUAGCGUGUCUGUAAACUCGCCGAUGUGGAAUAAUUUUAAUCAACUAAAAUUUUAAGUUGGAUUUUCUGUAAAACGCAUUAUAUAUGUAUAUACCAAACACGAUUCCAAUCCAGAAUUUUGGAAGAGAGUUCUUUUGCCGAGAGUGUAAAUAAACUUUGCAUUUCGGCACUUUCCAAGAUCGAAUUUAAAAUAAGCUUCACAGUAGAACCUUUAGCAAGCAGUUUUACGUUUAUUAAGUAGUUUUCCACCUAAUUGACGUGUGUUUAACGCUUUUAAAAUCAUACUUAAAAUUUUAGGAUAGUCAAAUUGUUAGCAUCACGCCUUACCAGUCGAUUUAGAAGACCUAAGAUUCUAAUCGAAAAACUGCAAACGCAUUUCUCUCAAUUCACCGUCUUAGCCAUUAGGCUAUGUCUUAAGUGAUCCUGAUUUUUUUUUAAAUUUGUCUUUGAGCUACCCUGCUAAGAAGUUGCAAAUAAUUCCUGCUAUUGAAAAUAGUUAUCCAGAGAUACAGUGAACAAAUGUAUUAAGUAAAUUUUAUUAUCAAAAAAAAAAAUUAAAAAAAAUAGAAAAAAUAAUAAAAAUAAAAUAAAUAUUAUAUUUAUAUGCUUCCUGAAUAAAUAUUCUUACCGGUUAGAGAAAGUGCAUACCAUCAUUAUAAGCGUACGGCUGCAAAUCAAUUAAGUAUGAUAAUCAAAAUCUUAAUUGUUCGCAAUCAACUUACAGAAUGGCACGCGUCAUUCUGAUUAUUAGAUCAAGCAUUUUAGAACGCUCUUGAUGAGAUUCGUUCACAAGUGGUACUGUACCACACUUGUGAACAAAUAUUAGAAAUAUGCACCAAUGCCUAAUUUGCAUGAUAUUUAUAUAUAAAACGUGAUGCCCCCAAACAAGAAAAGUAUAGAAAAAUUUUUUUUUAGGUGCAUUUUUAAGCGUAAUAUGUUUUCUAAGGCUUUUUUUUGUUGUUCAAGUUUUUCAAGUAAUUAUUCUGAUAAGAAUUUAUAUCUUUUGUAUCUAAAACAUUGUUAUAUGCAUCAAAAAUAUGAUUGAGCAAUCAUAAAGAACAAAACAAUGAAAAUCUAAUUAGACAGAGAUUGAGCCGUCAAAUUAGAAAAAGGUCACGACCUCAAGUAAAGUUUUGGUGAACUGUUAACAAAUUUUUGCUCGCAUAUAUUUUCGUGACCCUAUGUCUAAGGAAUAAUAUCUUGUUCAAAACUCCAGAUUUGAAGAUGUAAUUUAAACUUUUGUGGCGAAGACAACUUAAAUUAAAAAGAGUGAUUUGAUAUGAUUACAUUGUAGUGGUCUGUUAAUUGUGGUCUGGUACGUUUUAUUAAAAUUACCAAAUAUGAUAACGUGGUAGAAAAUGGGAUUAGCUAGAUGUUUGUUUUCAAAUUUAUUACAUUCAUGCAGAAUGAUGACAAGACCGCAAAAUGACGAUUAAAAGAACAUACAGUGUCACUGUCAAUAAUCUUAUUUGGGAAUUUAUUUUGACAGUUAAAAUAUAUUGAUCACAUAAAUGAACGACAACAAUUUGUACAACUAUUGGUGUCAGCUGUACAUAGCUAAUACGUGAUUGGGGGAGAAAUGGGCAUGGAAAACAGGAGGUAUAUAAUGUUGAAGGGAAAAAAACAUGUUAAUAUAUGCUUUCAUGAAGAAAAAGAUUUGAUUGUUCGGUUUAGUUGUUUUUUAAGGUGUUUAGAAUGUUUUUAAUAUAUUCUAUUAUAGAUAAAAUAUUUCAAAAUAAAAAGGGUUUAUGCCAUCUAAUACCUCUUUCAAAAUUAAACAGAAUUUAUUGGAAAUGAUAACUUUGAUAUUGUCGUUAAAGUAAUUUUUAUCUUGAGAGCUUGAUACGUAUUUUUAUAUAAGAAAAUACAUUAUAAGAAUAUCCUUUAUAAAUAUGUUCAAAAUGAAAGUAGGCAAAAUUUGCUCUUCUUAGAAUUUACUUAUUAACUCAUAUAAACUUUUAUCCUAUCAUUAAUAUAUGACGUUUCUCAGAUUUGAAUUAUUUUCCCCUACAAAAUGUGGUCGUCAAAAUCUGGUUAAACAGAGCACACCAGUUGCACAAAUGCACACCGUUUUAUAAAUAAUAAGAAAAACAUUAAAUUGGUUAUUUAUGUUAAAAAUAUUACCUUUUUUAUAUUUCACAAGUUCCUAUUCUCUUGAGGGGAAUUAGAAAUAUAGCACAUUUAAGUGUUUUCAUGAUGGCAGACUCUGAAAGUGUUAUUUUGUACUGUAGAAAGACUAAUUUAAAAAAGAAUUACUUUGCCCAUUUUAUGUCCAACUUAAAUGUACCCAAUUCUCCCUGGUUGACCUGCUCGCUGCAUUUUGUGCUCAAACGUUUUAGUCAAUGGCAAUUCUAAGGAGCACCGAUUUGGUUAUCACAAUUAUUGAAUAAUAAAAUCCCUUUUAGCUAAUCUCGUUCCUAAAGACGUAGUGACGAUUGACAUGAGUUGGCUUCUACAAUCUACAACAGACUCCAAGAAAGAAGAUUGACCCUGAGUAUUACUGAUACUAGAUUGUUAGAAGAAAAAAAAAAAUUGUUGAAAUGAAAGAAAAUAAAGAAAUUCCAUAGGAUUAAAAUACAUAAAUGUGAAAUUUUUUACAACUAAUGUCAUAAUCUAGGUCCUGGUAACAAAGUUGUUAUAGUUAUUCUACCUGAUAAGAAUCAAGAUAGAUCUGUAAUUUAUCGUCAUUAGCAGUGAUUACGUCACAUGGGAGAGUUGGAGGGCAUCAAAUAAUGUAUUUAUGAUUUAAUGAUGUAGGUUUGAUUGAUGGUAAGAUAAGGUAUAUAAAGUUGCAAGAAUAUGAUGUCAUAAAGAGAAACAAAUGAUCUGACGUAUAUACACGCCUUUAAUUUUAUCUCUCACAUAUUUUACACCUUUCUUGUUUUGUCAUCUUCAAUUGAUUAGUUGCUCGUUUUUGUUCUUCAUUAUUGCUUUUAAGUUAAAUUUCCACUCAAAAACGAAAUGGGAAGGAUCGGAACGGAUCGAAACAGACAAUUGUGAUUACAUUUUCAUUUCAAAUUCAAAUUUAAAGUUAAAAUCGUUUCAGCUUUUUUUUGGACUGGAAUGAAAAAGAUUUUAAAAACAAAUGAAAAAUUAGCGGAUAGCCAAUCAAAUUGAAGUAUUUCUCUUGUUCUCUACCGUUCCGUUUUGUCGUUGAGAGAAAAUUCAGCUUUAGCAACUUUACAGCUGACACAAGCAUACAAAACAAUAAUCAACAAUUUAGAAAUUCACGAAAUUAGAAUGGAAUAUUUUACCUGCCGCAAUAAAUUGCUUAGGUUCUUAUUGUUAAUUAAGGAUUGACAAACCCGUGCAAUUGAAGCUAUUUUAAGUUUGUCUCCGAGAUGUAAUUAAAAAGUAGCAAAUCUAAUUACCGAUAUUAAUAAAUAUGUAAAUUACAUCAUUAGGCAUUAUUAAGAGGUCGCUUUCAUAUUAAUUGGACCGCAUAUUAUCUAAGGUAUUCUAGCGUUUUGCUAACGAUCUUUGUAUGUAUGCUGUUCCGCCAAUCAGUUUUUCACAUGACGAAAUGACCCAAAUAAAAACGUUACCCUUGCGCAUUGGAAUGGCUUUGUACGUUCAGAAGUAACUACAUUUUUCAUUUUAAACUUCGCGCAGCAAAAAAAAACAUUAUUUCGCGCGUACUAAUUUUCGCGCAAUAGCAAUAUAAACGCAUUUCGCGCUAAUAAAUUUUUAGUCAAGGUUAAGCUCCCUCCACUAUUUCCAAAAAAAUUAUUUGUAAAAUUCAGGUUUUUUUGACAACAUAAAGAUGCAUUUUUUUAUUUUGUUUGAAACUAACUGUGAAAGCAUUUGGAUAUAAUAAUGAAUGCGCGGAAGAAAAGUUUGUAGGAAAGAAGACUGUGGAAGAAAUCUUUACGAAUUGCCUUGUAUUCGCAAACUUAAAUUUGCAUUUUUUAAACAAUGACGGCAUUCGCGUUUCUUUAUUUUGCAUUUUACUUUCACUCUCAAGUAAAUUAAGUAUAAUUCAAAUAUAUUUAAUUCCAAAUUUUUUUCCCCGCAAACUUAAAGCAGAUAAAAGUUUAAUAAAGGAAAUGAAAUUUAGGGCAAAGUAGACAAAAGAUAGAUAAAAGUAUGUUAAGUUAGUGCAAAGUAGACAAAAGAAAAGAAAAAUGUUUGAUGCAACUGCAGAACUAAAGAGCAUUCUGUUGGCAACAAAUGUUUUUUUUUUGUUAGCAUACUGCAAUUAGAAGACCAUUACCAAUCUAUGGUAUGUUUUGUCUUUAUUCAAAAUAAUUUAAUAGUACAUGAAAGUAGUCAUGAAAUAAUUAAAUAGUAUUGGCAUUAUUUUUAGACUGUCAUUUAUUCUUUGUAUCUUAUUAGGUUACACGACUAUCAAAAAUUGGGGGCGACAACACCAAAGAAACAACAAAUAAUGUUAUGAAAAACCUUAUGAGUUACGGACUGAUGUCUCUACUGAACAUGUGAGGAAAGGGAUUGAAAAAGAAGAAAAGCUUAAUGAAUACGCGUGUUGGAGAUUUGAUACUUGCGAGUGUAAUGUCCAGCAGGAACGGUGUUAUCACCGCCGAAAUAGAAAAUCAAAUGACAGCCAUAUUAAAGCAUGCCCCAGACCGGGAUGGCAGCAGAGGAAGAACUGCUCAGGAAGAUAUCAUGAACUCAUCACAUCAAACUGAUUUAAUUAUCAUUUAGGAAAUUUUUUGUAGAUUUUUUUAUUGUUUUUUAACAUUUUGUGUAAAUUAAAAAGUGUUUUAAUCAGGGAUGCAUCGAGGUUCAACCUUCUUUAUCGAAAAUCUCAUAAGCAGAUAAGCACGACGUCAUUGUCAUCAUUCUCGCUUUCCUGCUAGCAUGGAUUGGACAGGGCAUGCUAAAACCUUAAAUCCAUGAGUCAAUGUAUAACAAUAUAUUUAUAAUAAUUGCAAGUUGAUUUGUAUCAUGCAAGCACGUGAUGUCAUUUUGGAAACUACAAAAUCGAGAAAGUAUUGCACGUCACACGCCACAACUCUUUUUUUAUGCAUUUUUUUCAAAAGUUUCUAAAGAUUUUUUACUUAUAUCGUUCUUUAUUUAGUGAGUUUUAAAAUUCCUUACAUUGAUUCCACAAUAUUUUUCAAUGUAGUCUUAACUGUAAUAAUGUAACAAUUUACUGUAUAUAUGUAUGUAAUAUUUAUGUGUAUAUUUUUGUAAAGUUUUAUGAAGAUUGAUAUUUAUCGAGGCUUUUUGUCAUUUAUUCGUUGAGAGUGCCUAUAAACACCGUAUAGAUUCCGUACAAGGUUUUUUGACGUUGUUGCAACGUCAUGUUCCCGUCUCGCGUUGUUGUAAAGGGUUACUUUGAGGGUAUUAUGACGUUGUAGCAACGCCAUCUGCAUGCUGUGAACAGUUACUUUGAGGGUAUUACGACGUUGUUCGAACGUCUUCGCGAUGUUGCAAACAGGGUGCGAAAUUAACGUUGUAAAAACUUCACAAAACAACGCGAUUCCCAUUUUCAAUUUGGAUGCAAC